GAAGUUGGUAGCUCAGUGGUAGAGUGCAUGUGUAUGACGUCCUGGGUUCAAAUCUCAGCUACUCCC
Molecule: non-coding RNA, 66 nt
Organism: Dallia pectoralis (Alaska blackfish)
Lineage: Eukaryota; Metazoa; Chordata; Actinopteri; Esociformes; Umbridae
Source: the annotation of a GenBank genome assembly